Alexandromys fortis (reed vole) is the source of this 4946-nucleotide long non-coding RNA. RefSeq lists it as uncharacterized. The record is from RefSeq and is a predicted model, not a curated record. NCBI's taxonomy places the organism in Eukaryota, Metazoa, Chordata, Mammalia, Rodentia, Cricetidae. The transcript is spliced from 4 exons.
UGAUCUUUAGGCAAGUUUUCCGUGUUAGAUCACAGACAAAAUAUCACACUGUGCCCCUGGGAGAACUCUAGUUGUCUAGGCCUCUGUAGAUUUACAUGGUUCCUAAGAGAGUAGGGGACAAACUCACCUGUACCUGGCGCUCCUAAUAAGUGAAUGUCAACCUUUUGGCCAUGUCUUCUCUGUUGUUCUGACAAAAUACCCUGACAGAGCAAUAUGAGGUAGAAAGCUUGGCUUAGCUCACCUUUCAGGAAUAGAGUUCAUUGAGACAAGGAGGUCAAGGCAGCAGAAGCCUAAGAAGCUGCUUACCCCGAAUCCACAGUCAGGAACCAACGCAGAUUGCACGGUGCUUCUCAGCCCCUUCCCCACUUAGGCAGUCCAGGAUCCCAGCCAGGGAAUGGAGCUGCCCACUGUGGGCAAGACUUCUCAACGCACAUAACCAAGUCUCUCUUAAGGAAAUGUCCAAACGUCUUCCGCUGUCCAAGAAAUGAAGGGUACUGUCCGCUCGUUGUGCUUGGAGAUGGGAUUCAUCUCAGUAGAAGUCUUAGUCAAAGAAAAGCAGGGUGUUUUCUUAUCAACCCCAAGGUCCGUAACUGAUUUCUCUGUGGUUUAUUCUUCUGCUCUCACUCCUUCCUUAGCGCUCAGUGAUGCUCUCGAUGGGUGACUGGCCGAGUGGUUUGAAAACGCAGCUGUGUGUUGAAAUAAGAGUGGCGGGGCUGCGUCUCCAGCACCCCAGCCGCCUGCUAGCUCAUGCCCGAAAUAACAACACACAAAUUGUAUUCUUUUAAACACUGCUUGCCCAUUAUAUCUAGCCUCUUCUCGGCUAACUCUUGCACCUGGACUAGCCCAUUUCUAAUAAUGUGUGUAAGCACCCCAAGGUGCGCUUACGGGGAAGAUCCUAGCCUACGUCCAUCCUGGGUCGGAGCUGCCUGGGAGAGCGGAGCCUGGCGUGUCUGCUCCAGAGAGCAGAGCUGUCAAGUCUCUCUGGGAACAGAGCAGAGUCUGAGCUCACUUCCUCUUCCUCCCAGCAUCCUAUUCUGUUUACUCCUCCCACCUAUGUUUUAACCUAUCAGGGCCAAGGAGUUUCUUUAUUGCUUAACCAAUGAAAUCAACAGAUUGACAUAUGACACGUCCACAUCAGCUGUGCUUAGCCUCUCGAGUUCUCUUCUGGACGUGCGUGUGACCGGAAGCUUCGGUCACCACGGCAAAGUAAAUGAUUCACCGAUUCAUAAAUUUCCCUUCCGAUUCUCCCUCAGCUAAGAGCUUCACGAGGAUACUGUUAUCAAAGAAAACAUAAUUGUUUCUUUCCCUUUUGGUCCUUUAAAGGGUGCUUCAUGCAAUAUACGUGGGUUAAAAUUGAAUGUUAGGUGUGGUGGUGCACGCCUUUAAUAUCAGCACUCAGGAGGCAGAGGCAGGCAGACCUCAGAGAGUUUGAGUCCAGCCUGGUCUACAGAGUGAGCUCCAGGACAGCCAGGACUGGAUGAUGGAGAGACGGCUUGUGGGUAAAAGGACUUGUCACGUGAGGCUCAGAGUUUGAUACGGGGACCCACACAGGGGAAGAAGAGAACCGACCGCCGUGGCCAUAGGCACACCAUGGCACCUACCUCUGACACAUACAAUAAACAAAGUGCACAUUGCCGGAGAGGCGGGAGCUGAGACGCUGACACCCGGCUGGGCCACACCUUGCCCAGGACGGCUGUGAUGUGUACCUCUGGCUUUCAUUUAAACCUAAUUCUGGAGGAACUCGGGGACACUUGCAGAGUUGUGCCAGAAGGCUCUAUGUCCAAAGCCACAAUGUCAUGGAUGGGGGCACAAACAAGAGUGGAAAGGAGAAAGAAGGUACAGUGUGACCACACAGAUCCUGGACUGGGAAAACGUGUGCUCUGUGCACAGCAGGGUCAAGCGAGCUGUCCGGGAUGAUGUCCGAAGGUCCUGCAAAGGUAUUAGGUCACCUGCCUAAGAGGCCCAAGCUUUCUCGACUGCUGGUGUCUGCACAGUUCUAGGAACCAGCCUCAAAGACACAGAGGAACCAAUGUCCCACAGAGAAAAUGAGUGGCAGAAUCCUCUGUCUGGCCUGCUUCAGAGACUGCAGUAUCGCCUGCUAUUCUGGGACCGUGUCCUUGCCAGGCAUCUGCCAGGCCUGGAGCCUGGUGGCUCCUCUUUCAGACGUCCUGCGUCCCCACCACCUCCUUGGCAACCCUGCUGCUCCUCAGUGUGGAAACCCAUCUGUGCCACUCAGCAGAGCCGUCCCCUCCCUCUGGGGCUUCACACAUCCACACCCAGACUCCUCCUUUCCCCAGGUGAGCCCCACAGCUUCUCCCUCACAGGGCUCUUCCCCAGGCUUGAGGCUGUUCUUACUCAUUCUUCCAGACACUGAGGGACAUGCCAGCUUCCUCUGUCUCCAUGGUUGAUGAUGCCCUGUGGGGCCUGGGCCUUCACAGACUCAUCUCUGCCCUCCAUGAGCCCUCGAAGCCCUGGGGCUCUUGCUGACUACAGGACUAUCGGGGUGCUAGGCCAGGGGAAGAUGCCAAGGGCAGAGCACCCCUGCCUCAGCUUGCUGACUCCCUGUUUGAACUGGUGAGAGCUCUGACCUCUCAUUUGCUGCUUGUUUCUCAUGUGUCAAUAUUACCUCUCAUUGAGUGCUCCGUUUCUGUUUCAUUAUUCAUAAAAAUGAAUGUGAAGAGUAAUACAAUAUUCCACCUAAACUUUCCAGUAAAGGCAGCUCACACCUGGAACCCCCAAAGGGUGCUGACGGGUCUGUGUCAAGGCCUCUGAGAAAGGGCACCACCCACCUAUCCUCAUUGAGGUCAUUUCUGGGGUACCCCCCAUACCAAGGACUCUCAGGAUCCUGCCAACAGCCUCACGUCCAUCUCAGAGUUAAUGGUUUCUCUCAGGUCAGGCAAAGCCAGCCCUACCUCCUAGAAGAAUCUGCCUGGGAAGAUUCUACUGCCCAAACAGGUUCCGGGGAUACCCUCUUCCAUGUGUGUCCUAGUCCAGUUCCUGCCUGCUGCCCCUGCCAGGUGACAUACCAAGAGAGUUGUCCCUGUGUCUGCAUAGCCGAAGUCACUGUUAAUACUCCUGCCUCCUUCAGGAUGCUCAACCUUGGGGCAUUUCUAGGGCACCAUGGACCAAGAAGCCUCAGGCCAAGCAUUAAAUCCAGGGCGAUAAAAGCCCCACUCGUGGGCCUUCCCAGGCCAUCUUUAUCUGCAGUGAACUUGUGUCUGGAGACAUCAGCAGGCAGACAUUAGAAAAGAAGCAGCUUGCCUGAGGCAUUGAUACCCAGGGAGCUUCAUCUGUGGGACUCUGGUGACAUCCCACGGAAGGGCCAAUAUCCACGGACAAAGGGUCUUUCUAUGCCUCCUGAAGCAGCUUGCCUGAGGCAUUGGUACCCAGGGAGCUUCAUCUGUGGGACUCUGGUGACAUCCCACGGAAGAGCCAAUAGCCACUGACAAAGGGUCUUCCCAUGCCUCCUGAGGUCUCUGUUAGUCACGUCUGUGAGACCUGAUUGGUUCCUCUUCAUGCCUAGGUCUUCUGUGGCCACAUAAGUAAAACUGUGUUGGGGCUUGGAGGCAGGUUUGGAAGGCCCCGGACCCUUCAUUUGCUUUUGGGUCUCUCUUAGUUAUUCCCUGAGAAAAAUCAACCCCCACAGCAGAGGCACAGGGAGGUGAGGCAACCAGAGCUGAGUCCAUAGUUGCUGUUCUAAAGGAGGCCACGAGAAGAGACCAAGAAAAAGGAUCCUUUUUCAUGUGCCAUUAAAGGACAAACUGAAUGCAAUCAUGGAGACAUUGGAGGAAAAUAAUUGCAUUUAUGCACUUAUAUUUUUGAACAACAGAUCUUUAAUUGCCUAUAAAAGAAGAAGAAAUAAGGAACCGGCCUCUGGUUAAGAAGUAUCUCUCUGGAAGCUGGGCAGGAGUCCUAUUUGCUUCAGGACUUUAAAGAUAUGGUGUGGCUCAAUUUACCCAGAACGCCCAGGAAAUAUCUUUGAAACCUACAGCAAUGCAAGACCCUUUGUCCUUGAGUUUCCCAGGAUGAGAAGCUGGUGACAGAAUGUUCUCAUGGCUUCCUGCCUCGGUCUAAGCUCAGAUAAUCCACAAAGGCAUUGACGCAGUCUCUGGGCUGUGUCACGGGGAGGGUUAAAUAAUCCCACUGCUGUUUGUCAUUUGGCUUGAGCACCUGACUGAGGUAUCUGUUCUGGAAUGUUCCUAGACACUGGCAAAUGCCGAAGGAAUAAAGGCCAAGUCAGAAACAGAAAACAAACCGCAAAGGCUUGGUGCCCAGAGAAGAAGGAAACAGUCUACUGCAACAUGAAGGCAUGAGACCACCUCACCAGUGACCAAACUAUGAGAGAGCAAAGGGCCUGGAGAAAUCCUCCACAGGCAGGGGGAAUGCUGGAGUAAGGGGAGGGAGGGUCACAGCGUGACCUGUGCCACACCCUGGGCAUUAGGACUCUGGGCUGCAGGCGGGUGUCUUGAAGGAUGAGCAGAGGCAUUGGAAGCCCAAGCAGAGAUGCCUAGCCAGACUACGUGUGGCACAAGCAUUAGGACACCUCAGAGCAAUAUCCAGGGAGGUCCCACUCCACCCUGGAGACCACUGUUAAGAAACCAUAUGCCCAGAGGCACCCAGAGCUCAGAAACCUUGUUUGCUCCACGGGAAUCUAAGGUAUCAGGGUUCCUCCAGCCUGCUCAUUUCUGCAUGUGAAUGGAACUUCCUGGUGAAUCCCGGACCCUCCACUGAGAGGAGCAUUCUAAACAACCUCUGCUCUGUUUUAUGUUGUAUGACCCCCACUGGUUCCACAUUGGCCUGACCUUGGUCUGAGUCACUUCCUGAAAUCAGAUCUCCCGCUGUGCAAAAAGACAAACAGGUACCCAAAAGUCACCGCAAGACAUAAGCAGAACACAGGGUUUAGCAGCCAGUAGGUACUUAGAGAGGAAGCAAUAGUAAGGGGGCCA